UGGCGGACGGGUGAGUAACGCGUGGGUAACCUGCCUCAUACAGGGGGAUAACAGUUAGAAAUGACUGCUAAUACCGCAUAAGACCACAGGACCGCAUGGUCCAGUGGUAAAAACUCCGGUGGUAUGAGAUGGACCCGCGUCUGAUUAGCUAGUUGGUAAGGUAACGGCUUACCAAGGCGACGAUCAGUAGCCGACCUGAGAGGGUGACCGGCCACAUUGGGACUGAGACACGGCCCAA
RNAcentral lists this ribosomal RNA (238 nucleotides) under uncultured bacterium. RNAcentral's name for it is "partial 16S ribosomal RNA". It matches the Rfam family "Bacterial small subunit ribosomal RNA", at positions 96 to 334 of the family's 1533-position model. The record is from RNAcentral.